This is a non-coding RNA of Acanthosepion pharaonis, 98 nucleotides long. NCBI's taxonomy places the organism in Eukaryota, Metazoa, Mollusca, Cephalopoda, Sepiida, Sepiidae. The record is from the annotation of a GenBank genome assembly.
UGCAAACACCGCUUCUCGUAGGUUCACCAAAGUUAAGCAAUAUCGAGCCUGAUCAGUACCUAGAUGUAUGACUACUUGGGAAUACCAGGUGCUGCAAG